RNAcentral lists this ribosomal RNA (454 nucleotides) under uncultured organism. RNAcentral's name for it is "partial 16S ribosomal RNA". It matches the Rfam family "Bacterial small subunit ribosomal RNA", at positions 330 to 800 of the family's 1533-position model. The record is from RNAcentral.
CGUACACUCCUGCGGGAGGCAGCAGUGGGGAAUAUUGGACAAUGGGCGCAAGCCUGAUCCAGCCAUGCCGCGUGAGUGAUGAAGGCCCUAGGGUUGUAAAGCUCUUUCACCGGUGAAGAUAAUGACGGUAACCGGAGAAGAAGCCCCGGCUAACUUCGUGCCAGCAGCCGCGGUAAUACGAAGGGGGCUAGCGUUGUUCGGAUUUACUGGGCGUAAAGCGCACGUAGGCGGACUAUUAAGUCAGGGGUGAAAUCCCGGGGCUCAACCCCGGAACUGCCGUUGAUACUGGUAGUCUUGAGUUCGAGAGAGGUGAGUGGAAUUCCGAGUGUAGAGGUGAAAUUCGUAGAUAUUCGGAGGAACACCAGUGGCGAAGGCGGCUCACUGGCUCGAUACUGACGCUGAGGUGCGAAAGCGUGGGGAGCAAACAGGAUUAGAAGCCCGUGUAGUCCCAUGA